UUAGUUACUAUUAUAGUUCAGGUAAAGUUGGGUAUCUAUACAAUAUAAUCGAAGCUUUCAUUGACAGUCAAAGGGCUAUAUUCUAUUCAUUUGUGUAUCAUUGGUUAUUUGUGCAUUUUUAAGUGUAGUGACAUUCAUCUACAUUACGUGUCAUAAAUAAAAGUAAAUCAAAUCUACUUCAGUCUUUCUAUUUUAACAAGUUUAGGUCUCUCUCUCUCUCUCUCUCUCUCUCUCUCAUUUUUUUCUAUCAUAAAUUCUCUUGCAUUGACACACCAUCCAUGAGGUGACCUCACACUACUUGACACCGUCGCACAAGCCACUCUACCACAACGCAAAGGUAUGUAAGCCACUCUACCACAACGCAAAGGUAUGUAAGCCACUCUACCACAACGCAAAGGUAUGUAAGCCACUCUACCACAACGCAGAGGUAUGUAAGCCACUCUACCACAACGCAAAGGUAUGUAAGCCACUCUACCACAACGCAAAGGUAUGUAAGCCACUCUACCACAACGCAGAGGUAUGUAAGCCACUCUACCACAACGCAAAGGUAUGUAAGCCACUCUACCACAACGCAAAGGUAUGUAAGCCACUCUACCACAACGCAGAGGUAUGUAAGCCACUCUACCACAACGCAGAGGUAUGUAAGCCACUCUACCACAACGCAAAGGUAUGUAAGCCACUCUACCACAACGCAAAGGUAUGUAAGCCACUCUACCACAACGCAAAGGUAUGUAAGCCACUCUACCACAACGCAAAGGUAUGUAUACUCUCAUUGUUUUCUCCUCAGAAAAUGAAUAUUUCGUAAUUAUAUUAUUAAAUGUACGCAGAGUAUUUAAAAUUUACUUAGUAGUCAAUAAUUAGCAAUAUAAGAGCCGGGAGGGGGGGGGAGGGGGAUGGAGUGGCAUAUGCGCUACUCCCGCAAGCCACACCUGAAGAUAAAUCAAGGUAAAAUAGGGAGCAUGCGCUACAAAGCUGCGCGUGGUGGAGGUGCUCAUUUCCAUCCCGUUUUUCUUUGAGCCAGUGGUGGGAGAGAAUAACCCAACGCCGGUGUGGCGUCAUCUGCCAUCCACGUAUCCUAACACAUCCCAUCCUGAUUGAGCUUGCGCGGGCUUUGUUAACAGAGGGUGCAUGAAUGUCGGUACGGUACAGUGUCUUUUGUCUACUGCCUAUUGUUAUCCGUCCCACCAAAGGUGUUUUUUUUAAGUAAAUGAUGGCGUAUGUUUUGAAGUCUUGAAAUAUGAAAGUUUCUUCACACCUUGUAUGUCGGUAAAUGUGUUAAGAGAUAGCCUGCACCCCUUGUAUGUCAAUAAAUGUGAUAAGAAGAGAUAACCAUCACCACUUGCAUGUCUUGCCGCCAUAUUGCCUGGACAAACUACGAUAUUAACAGUGUAAACAUCGGGUUCCGCGCAUGCGCAGAUCAGGAUGGGAUGUCUAAGAUACGUGGAUGGCAGAUGACACCACACCGGGACAGUUUACCUUGCCCCGUUAAACCUAAAAUGCCUUGAUCAAAUAGAAAGACUUAAGUACCGUACCUAAUAUAAUGGCUGACAGUCAUACUUUUGCAUGAACAUAUACGAGAUUUUGAAGCUAAUAUCUAAAUGUGUAUAUUAUUAGUAGUAUCUACCACCACUAUUAGUCUACUGACAUUAAGAUAUAC
Long non-coding RNA from Eriocheir sinensis (Chinese mitten crab), 1657 nucleotides. RefSeq lists it as uncharacterized. The record is from RefSeq and is a predicted model, not a curated record. The transcript has 3 exons. Lineage: Eukaryota; Metazoa; Arthropoda; Malacostraca; Decapoda; Varunidae.